Long non-coding RNA from Rana temporaria (common frog), 839 nucleotides. RefSeq lists it as uncharacterized. The transcript is spliced from 2 exons. The record is from RefSeq and is a predicted model, not a curated record. NCBI's taxonomy places the organism in Eukaryota, Metazoa, Chordata, Amphibia, Anura, Ranidae.
UUAUCAUUGUGGAUCUUGUCCAGCACUUACUGCUGAGUGGAACCUUUCUGCCUCCCUUUGGUUCCCUGGGGAAUGUUUUGAUCAGCAGGAUUACAAGACCACUCCUUCUUCCUGUCUUAGAAAGAAAGCCUUUUCCUGUAUCUCAGAUGCCACAUGUUAGCUGUCUGCAUAGGAUUUCAUGGAAGAUGUCUGCAGAAAAUCCCUAAAGCUUAAAGUUUGUACCCCCCUUGGCAAGCGGAUCGAGGUAUGCAGAAAAGUGUGCAUUGUUAUAAAGGUGUAUAUGUUCUAGAGAUAAACCCUGUUCAUGCUGUUUGGUUUUAAAUACGCUAUACUGUAUAAUCCAAGGCACUUUGCAUGUAACCAUGUUUCUUUGAAUGUUCAAUGUAAUUAGAUAUGUGUGCAGACAACUGUAAUUAACCCUGUAACCCCCUUUUUGGUGACAACUGUAAAUAAGUGUUUUAUAUGUCAUUUACAGUUUUCACGGUGCUAUGGUGCUAUGGUGCUUACGAUAUUCAUGUUUACGGUGCUCAAGGAGAUAAAGAAAACAAUAUUCAACCCUGCUACGCACCUUUGUUCCGAAAUAAUAAAACUACUGCACCCGUCAGAAGCUCUCCUCUUGUUAUUUAUUCGAUGCCAAAGGGGCCGUAACAGUGAAAACUCGUCGCUGCGGUGGAGACUCGACAUCACCAGCUGCGUCGCUGUCUUCAUCGAACUAAAGAAAGCCUUUUCCUGUAUCUCAGAUGCCACAUGUUAGCUGUCUGCAUAGGAUUUCAUGGAAGAUGUCUGCAGAAAAUCCCUAAAGCUUAAAGUUUGUACCCCCCUUGGCAAGCGGAUCGAGG